RNAcentral lists this ribosomal RNA (521 nucleotides) under Apocalathium aciculiferum. Its description in RNAcentral is "LSU rRNA". It matches the Rfam family "Eukaryotic large subunit ribosomal RNA", at positions 104 to 504 of the family's 3401-position model. Lineage: Eukaryota; Dinophyceae; Thoracosphaerales; Thoracosphaeraceae. The record is from RNAcentral.
UCAGCUCAGGAUGGAAAUUGGGGCCUUUGGCCUGGAAUUGUAAUCUGGAGAUGUACCACCAACUGGGGCGUAGAUGUAAGCCUUUUGGAAAAGAGCAUCAAUGAGGGUGAGAGUCCCGCAUGUCAUCUGCAGUCCCCAGUGCACGGUGUACCUUCUAAGAGUCACGUUCCUCGGGAUUGGAGCGCAAAUUGGGUGGUAAAUUUCAUCUAAAGCUAAAUAUUGCUUCGAGACCGAUAGCAAACAAGUACCAUGAGGGAAAGGUGAAAAGGACUUUGAGAAGAGAGUUAAAAGUGCCUGAAAUUGCUGAAAGGGAAGCGAAUGGAACCAGUGCAGCUUGGCAAGAUUGUUACGUGCCAGUGUGAUUGCUUGCUGCCUCAACGCAAGUGUGGCAGUAGGUCUUGAGCAUGACGCUCGUGGUGCUUCUUGCCUUGUGUGUCAACACCAGUUCACGGCUGAGGAAAACUUCAGGGACAUGGUAGCCUGUCCGGGUGGGUGAAUGUGCUUGCUGGUCAUCUGUGGUG